UGAUCUUGUACUAAGUUCAAGUCCAGGAUAUUGGCAACAAACUCGUCUAACAUAUAGUGAUGGGACCACCUACCUAGUCAAACUGGACAUGCCAACGAUUCAACGUUUAGAGAAUGGAGAUACUCAACUUCUUGAAACAAUCAGGGCUAAUAUAGAAUCAUCAAAAUUG
Long non-coding RNA from Mizuhopecten yessoensis (Yesso scallop), 169 nucleotides. RefSeq lists it as uncharacterized. Lineage: Eukaryota; Metazoa; Mollusca; Bivalvia; Pectinida; Pectinidae. The record is from RefSeq and is a predicted model, not a curated record. The transcript is spliced from 3 exons.